UGCAACUCGCCUACAUGAAGUCGGAAUUGCUAGUAAUCGCGGAUCAGCAUGCCGCGGUGAAUACGUUCCCGGGCCUUGUACACACCGCCCGUCACACCAUGGGAGUCGGUAACACCCGAAGCCUGUAGUCUAACCGCAAGGGGGACGCAGUCGAAGGUGGGAUUGAUGACUGGGGUGAAGUCGUAACAAGGUAAC
Molecule: ribosomal RNA, 195 nt
Filed under: uncultured bacterium
Lineage: Bacteria
Description: partial 16S ribosomal RNA
Rfam family: Bacterial small subunit ribosomal RNA
Source: RNAcentral